Molecule: ribosomal RNA, 468 nt
Filed under: uncultured bacterium
Lineage: Bacteria
Description: partial 16S ribosomal RNA
Rfam family: Bacterial small subunit ribosomal RNA
Source: RNAcentral
GACGAACGCUGGCGGCGUGCUUAAUACAUGCAAGUCGAACGGAAAGGCCCUGCUCUUGCGGGGUGCUCGAGUGGCGAACGGGUGAGUAACACGUGAGUAAACUGCACCUGACUUUGGGGUAACUUCAGGAAACUGGGGCUAAUACCGGAUAGGAGCUACUGCUGCAUGGUGGGGGUUGGAAAGAUUCGGUCGUUGGGUCUGGUCUGGCGGGUUAUCAGCUAGUUGGUGGAGUAGUGGCUUACCAAGGCUUUGACGGGUAGCCGGCCUUAGAGGGUGAACGGGGUCAUGAGGACUGCGGGACGGACCAGACGCCUAUGGUCGGCAAUGGGGGGGAGUAUGACGCAGUGGCGGGGAGUCAGUGACGGAGGCCUCGGGAGCGUGAAAACGUCCUAUUAGGUGUAAACCGCUGUCGCCUGAGACGUAGCGGGAGUGACGGUAAUGAGUAAGAAAGCACCGGCUAACUACGUG